Vicia faba (fava bean) is the source of this 354-nucleotide non-coding RNA. Lineage: Eukaryota; Viridiplantae; Streptophyta; Magnoliopsida; Fabales; Fabaceae. The record is from the annotation of a GenBank genome assembly.
AUGCUUUCCAAAACUUCAGCUCACUGCCGUUCUCCCACCGCGGUACCGCUAGCUUGCCUUCAUCCAACCACCCGCGACCAACACCCUUGCCGUCACGCUCCAACAACCUCAACAACCUUGGCUCCACUGCAGCUUGUUACAAACGCCGGCCACGCGCAAAAUACGCACAAGCCUCCACCGCGAAGUCUCUGCAAUCCUUCAUCGAAACCUCUCCAAUCCUCCAUCAUCCUCUCGACUACCACCGACCGCCGCUAUUUCUUUGGCCAUAAACUUCGAUCGUCGCACCCAUCGAAGCUGCCAGCCAAAGCAUCCAUCGCCAAAAAUGGAAAUCGUGUCGUUUUGAGAAUAAGAUAG